Small nucleolar RNA from Ochotona princeps (American pika), 153 nucleotides. Its record names the gene SNORA74. It matches the Rfam family "Small nucleolar RNA SNORA74". From Rfam's summary of the family: U19 belongs to the H/ACA class of snoRNAs. snoRNAs bind a number of proteins (including dyskerin, Gar1p and Nop10p in the case of the H/ACA class) to form snoRNP complexes. This class are thought to guide the sites of modification of uridines to pseudouridines by forming direct base pairing interactions with substrate RNAs. Targets may include ribosomal and spliceosomal RNAs but the exact functions of many snoRNAs, including U19, are not confirmed. The record is from Ensembl. Lineage: Eukaryota; Metazoa; Chordata; Mammalia; Lagomorpha; Ochotonidae.
CCCAGCUGUUGGCAACUGCCGAGGUUGACCUGUACCUGGGCAAGUGUUACACUGCUGGGAGAAGAGCAGCCACAGCUGGCUGGCAUUCUGGGCCUGGUUCAGGGCAAAUGUGUGUUACCUGUGCCAGUGUGGCAGUAUAAUUGCUUAUACUUU